AGUGAACGCUGGCGGUAGGCCUAACACAUGCGAGUCGAACGGCAGCACAGUAAGAGCUUGCUCUUACGGGUGGCGAGUGGCGGACGGGUGAGGAAUACAUCGGAAUCUACUUUUUCGGGGGGGAUAACGGAGGGAAACUUACGCUAAUACCGAAUACGACCUACGGGUGAAAGCAGGAGAGCUUCGGGCCUUGCGCGACUGAAUGAGCCGAUGUCGGAUUAGCUAGUUGGCGGGGUAAAGGCCCACCAAGGCGACGAUCCGUAGCUGGCCUGAGAGGAUGAUCAGCCACACUGGAACUGAGACACGGUCCAGACUCCUACGGGAGGCAGCAGUGGGGAAUCUUGGACAAUGGGCGCAAGCCUGAUCCAGCCAUACCGCGUGGGUGAUGAAGGCCUUCGGGUUGUAAAGCCCUUUUGUUGGGAAAGAAAAGCAGCAGGUGAAUACCCCGCUGUUCUGACGGUACCCAAAGAAUAAGCACCGGCUAACUUCGUG
This 492-nucleotide ribosomal RNA is filed under the name uncultured bacterium. RNAcentral's name for it is "partial 16S ribosomal RNA". It matches the Rfam family "Bacterial small subunit ribosomal RNA", at positions 29 to 507 of the family's 1533-position model. The record is from RNAcentral.